This 576-nucleotide ribosomal RNA is filed under the name uncultured bacterium. RNAcentral describes it as "partial 16S ribosomal RNA". It matches the Rfam family "Bacterial small subunit ribosomal RNA", at positions 355 to 923 of the family's 1533-position model. The record is from RNAcentral.
UGGGGAAUUUUGGACAAUGGGGGAAACCCUGAUCCAGCCAUCCCGCGUGUGCGAUGAAGGCCUUCGGGUUGUAAAGCACUUUUGGCAGGAAAGAAACGUCGCGGGUUAAUACCCCGCGAAACUGACGGUACCUGCAGAAUAAGCACCGGCUAACUACGUGCCAGCAGCCGCGGUAAUACGUAGGGUGCAAGCGUUAAUCGGAAUUACUGGGCGUAAAGCGUGCGCAGGCGGUUCGGAAAGAAAGAUGUGAAAUCCCAGAGCUUAACUUUGGAACUGCAUUUUUAACUACCGGGCUAGAGUGUGUCAGAGGGAGGUGGAAUUCCGCGUGUAGCAGUGAAAUGCGUAGAUAUGCGGAGGAACACCGAUGGCGAAGGCAGCCUCCUGGGAUAACACUGACGCUCAUGCACGAAAGCGUGGGGAGCAAACAGGAUUAGAUACCCUGGUAGUCCACGCCCUAAACGAUGUCAACUAGCUGUUGGGGCCUUCGGGCCUUGGUAGCGCAGCUAACGCGUGAAGUUGACCGCCUGGGGGAGUACGGUCGCAAGAUUAAAACUUAAAUGAAUUGACGGGGGUCAU